GAUGAACCCUUGCGGGAGGCCUAACACAUGCAAGCCGAGCGGUAUUGUUUCUUCGGAAAUGAGAGAGCGGCGUACGGGUGCGGAACACGUGUGCAACCUGCCUUUAUCUGGGGGAUAGCCUUUCGAAAGGAAGAUUAAUACUCCAUAAUAUAUUGAACGGCAUCGUUUAAUAUUGAAAGCUCCGGCGGAUAGAGAUGGGCACGCGCAAGAUUAGCUAGUUGGUGAGGUAACGGCUCACCAAGGCGAUGAUCUUUAGGGGGCCUGAGAGGGUGAUCCCCCACACUGGUACUGAGACACGGACCAGACUCCUACGGGAGGCAGCAGUGAGGAAUAUUGGUCAAUGGGUGCAAGCCUGAACCAGCCAUCCCGCGUGAAGGACGACUGCCCUAUGGGUUGUAAACUUCUUUUGUAUAGGGAUAAACCUACCCUCGUGAGGGUAGCUGAAGGUACUAUACGAAUAAGCACCGGCUAACUCCGUGCCAGCAGCCGCGGUAAUACGGAGGGUGCAAGCGUUAUCCGGAUUUAUUGGGUUUAAAGGGUCCGUAGGCGGACUUAUAAGUCAGUGGUGAAAGCCUGUCGCUUAACGAUAGAACUGCCAUUGAUACUGUAAGUCUUGAGUAUAUUUGAGGUAGCUGGAAUAAGUAGUGUAGCGGUGAAAUGCAUAGAUAUUACUUAGAACACCAAUUGCGAAGGCAGGUUACCAAGAUAUAACUGACGCUGAGGGACGAAAGCGUGGGGAGCGAACAGGAUUAGAUACCCUGGUAGUCCACGCCGUAAACGAUGCUAACUCGUUUUUGGGCCUUAGGGUUCAGAGACCAAGCGAAAGUGAUAAGUUAGGCACCUGGGGAGUACGCUCGCAAGAGUGUAACUCAAAGGAAUUGACGGGGGCCCGCACAAGCGGUGGAUUAUGUGGUUUAAUUCGAUGAUACGCGAGGAACCUUACCAAGACUUAAAUGGGAAUUGACAGCUUUAGAAAUAGAGCUUUCUUCGGACAAUUUUCAAGGUGCUGCAUGGUUGUCGUCAGCUCGUGCCGUGAGGUGUUAGGUUAAGUCCUGCAACGAGCGCAACCCCUGUCACUAGUUGCCAUCAUUCAGUUGGGGACUCUAGUGAGACUGCCUACGCAAGUAGAGAGGAAGGUGGGGAUGACGUCAAAUCAUCACGGCCCUUACGUCUUGGGCCACACACGUAAUACAAUGGCCGGUACAGAGGGCAGCUACACAGCGAUGUGAUGCAAAUCUCGAAAGCCGGUCUCAGUUCGGAUUGGAGUCUGCAACUCGACUCUAUGAAGCUGGAAUCGCUAGUAAUCGCGCAUCAGCCAUGGCGCGGUGGAUACGUUCCCGGGCCU
This 1345-nucleotide ribosomal RNA is filed under the name uncultured bacterium. RNAcentral's name for it is "bacterial SSU rRNA". It matches the Rfam family "Bacterial small subunit ribosomal RNA", at positions 28 to 1381 of the family's 1533-position model. The record is from RNAcentral.